This 78-nucleotide transfer RNA is filed under the name Gemmatimonadota bacterium. RNAcentral describes it as "Gemmatimonadetes bacterium tRNA-OTHER". RNAcentral also lists the same sequence under 1 other name. The record is from RNAcentral. Lineage: Bacteria; Pseudomonadati; Gemmatimonadota.
AGCGCUGGCGAGCGCCCACGAGCGCUAGCCUCAUAUCUGAUAAGCGUGAGGUCGGAAGUUCAAAUCUUCCCAGGCCCA